CAAGUCGAACGAAGCACUUUAUUUGAUUUCCUUCGGGACUGAUUAUUUUGUGACUGAGUGGCGGACGGGUGAGUAACGCGUGGGUAACCUGCCUUGUACAGGGGGAUAACAGUUGGAAACGGCUGCUAAUACCGCAUAAGCGCACAGCAUCGCAUGAUGCAGUGUGAAAAACUCCGGUGGUAUAAGAUGGACCCGCGUUGGAUUAGCUAGUUGGUGAGGUAACGGCCCACCAAGGCGACGAUCCAUAGCCGACCUGAGAGGGUGACCGGCCACAUUGGGACUGAGACACGGCCCAAACUCCUACGGGAGGCAGCAGUGGGGAAUAUUGCACAAUGGGCGAAAGCCUGAUGCAGCGACGCCGCGUGAGCGAAGAAGUAUUUCGGUAUGUAAAGCUCUAUCAGCAGGGAAGAUAAUGACGGUACCUGACUAAGAAGCACCGGCUAAAUACGUGCCAGCAGCCGCGGUAAUACGUAUGGUGCAAGCGUUAUCCGGAUUUACUGGGUGUAAAGGGAGCGCAGGCGGUGCGGCAAGUCUGAUGUGAAAGCCCGGGGCUCAACCCCGGUACUGCAUUGGAAACUGUCGUACUAGAGUGUCGGAGGGGUAAGCGGAAUUCCUAGUGUAGCGGUGAAAUGCGUAGAUAUUAGGAGGAACACCAGUGGCGAAGGCGGCUUACUGGACG
This 679-nucleotide ribosomal RNA is filed under the name uncultured Lachnospiraceae bacterium. Its description in RNAcentral is "bacterial SSU rRNA". It matches the Rfam family "Bacterial small subunit ribosomal RNA", at positions 58 to 735 of the family's 1533-position model. The record is from RNAcentral. Lineage: Bacteria; Bacillati; Bacillota; Clostridia; Lachnospirales; Lachnospiraceae.